GCUGGGUGCAGUGGAGCACACCUGUAAUCCCAGAAGCUCAGGAGGCUGAGGCAGGAGGAUCGAAAGUUCAAAGCCACCCUCUGCAAAAGUGAGGCACUAAGCAACUCAGUGAGACCCUGUCUCUA
This 125-nucleotide small RNA is filed under the name Marmota monax (woodchuck). The record is from RNAcentral. Lineage: Eukaryota; Metazoa; Chordata; Mammalia; Rodentia; Sciuridae.